CCUCCCGUCUGGCCCCGGCCCGCGGCGUCCCGAAGGCCGCCCUGCCCUCCCCCGACCUCCCGCAGUUCCUUCACCCCUGAGGCCCGGGGCCCAGGAGAGGGGGAAACCCGGGAAGGGAGUCAGAAAGUUUUGUUGGGAGUUUGAGGCUUGCUGCGGACGCGGGAGCUCUCGCUGCUCCGCUCUCCUCCAGCACGCCCCCCAACUUAACCCCUUCCCUCCCGCAGUAGGUUCGCGGCCUGGAGGGAGUUCCCGGGACGCGUUGGCUCUCAGGCCCCUGCACUGCUAACCCCGCUCACCUCGGCCGGGGACCCGCGGGCUCCGGACGUCCGACCCGCCGCGGCUGGGCGGAGCGGCUACGCGCCCCUUUUGGAGCUUCCUCCCUUGGGAGUGGGUGUCUGCGGUUUUGGUGUGAGGAGAAGACUGGCGCUCUCUUUACCACAUCCUGUGCCCUGGAUGGCCGCUGAGUAAAAGUUUGACGAAUGAAAAUCAAAGGGACAGAAGGCAUGGGUUCGAGACAAUUUGGCAUUAAACGGACACUUCUCUUGGAUGCCACCAGGACUGGGAAAGACUGAAAAGGAAAUGACUUUUGUGAUGUGACUCAGUUUAUCUAGUGCCCUGUCGGGAUGUGAUUAGCAGAGCAGCAGGGGGAAUUGGAGGCAGAGAAGUCUUCCCAGAGGAGAUAGGACUUCAGUUGGGAACUGAGGGAUGCCGAGGAGCUGGAGUGCCACCCAGGCUUCUGCGCAGGAAGUGACUGCUGUGGGACCGGCUUGUCUGGACCCCUGGCUCAAGGAGAAGCUGACCAGCCUUCCAGCCUCACAGUUCUAGCCACAUUUUCUGCGCUCUGCUCCCAGCGAGGCCUUUCUCCAACGGGCUUUGCUCGGGGUCCAGCCCUCGUCCUCCCCAGGCCUCAGCCCCCCCCCCCAUCUGUGAGACUUCACGGAGCACUUCCAGUGACCUCCCAACACUGCUGUUUAUAAGCCCCAUGCUGCCCGGGAAGUGGUGCUGUCUUCCUCCGCAUUUCACAGAGAGGAAACUGAGGUUCAGAGAAUUUCCAUCACUUGCUCCAAAUUACCCAGCCAGGAAACGGUGGGCCUGGUGUUUGAACCCAGGCAGCAUGACCCAGCCCUGGCCUGAGGUCCUCGCCAUCAUUCAUCUCCUCCAUCGUCAGGUCAGGCCGGGAUCAUUCUCCUUUUCCCACACUUGGGGAAACUCAGGCCCAGACAGGCGACAUCUCUUGCGCAGGGGUGCAAAGCUGAGGUGGGUCUUGAGCCCUGCCGGGUGCCAUGUUGGCCAGCCCUCCUGCCUCUUCCCACGGAUGCCCAGCACCUCUGCAGAUAUGCAGCUGCCCCCCGGAAGUGCUGCAGGCUCUAGGGGUUGAGAUCAAGAGCAGAGCGGGGCGUGGCUGUCAGCUUGGAAGAAGCAAAAAGGCUCCUGCCAGUAAAAGGAAGAAGUGAAAUGAGAGUGUGGGGUGCGGGCGUGGGGUGAGCGAGCAGAGAGGUUGCCAGCAGCUGAGAGCUUCCCAACUUCCCUUUCUGCCUUCAGAAGACAGCGGCGUGACAGCGGGACAGCAGCGGCCACACAGAUGAGAAGAAGUGAAGCACAGAAGGGUCAGGCUCCCUGCUUAAUGUCACAGCUCGGGCACUGAAUACUGGAACUGGUUGGCACAUGUACAUCUUGCAAAGGCUCUCUUCUGCGCGUCACCUGUCUCCUCAUCCUCUAUUGGCCUAAAUAGGGCUUCGUUCAUCAAUACAGCAGCGCAGCCCCCCAGUCAUCUUUAGGAGGCGGCAGGGCACCGCGGGGAAAGUGCGGGACUUGGAGUCUGGGUUUGGGGCUUGGCUGAACCCCUGGCCUGCCGAAGAACCCCAGGCAAGCUCGUGGGUGAUAUCCAGUUUUGCCACAGUUGGAGCCGUCUUGGGAGUCAGGUCGGGAGCUGGUUCUUGGAGGAGACCGGGCACAGGGCAUGGAUCGCUGGGGGCCCUUUUCUUCUGCCUGUGCCUGGUGACUUCCCAGAGCUGGACGGCAGAAUCGUCCCAAGACGCCCUGAGCUGGAUGGAGAAGAUGGAGGUGGCGGCCAAGAAACGGAGCCUGAUUUCCUUUGCUGACUUCAUCCAUGGCCUGGAAUGGAGGCUGCUCAACGUCAGCUUUGGGGGCCACAACCUCACCUUGAAGACACACACCAUCCAGACGCUGGCCUUCAAGCUGGGCUGCAACUUCACCGGCCUCUCACUGAGCAGUGACACUCUGGAGCGUGUCCCCCAGGCCCAAGCCCGGCACGCCAUGCAGUUCCCGGCUGAGCUGACCCGGGAUGCCUGCAGGACCCACACCAGGGAGCUGCGUCUCAUCUGCAUCUACUUCUUCACCAGCCACUUUUUCAAGAAAGACAUCAACUCAUCUCUGCUCAAUAACUAUGUUCUGGGGGCCCAGCUGGGUCAUGGACCUGUGAACAACCUCAGUGAUCGGGUGAACAUCAGCUUCUGGCACAAUCAAAGCCUGGAAAGCUACACGGUGACAUGUGUUUUCUGGAAGGAGGGAGCCAGCAAGGACUACUGGGGGGCCUGGAGCCCUGAGGGCUGUCUCACAGAGCAGCCUUCACCUUCCCAGGUGCUCUGCCGCUGCAACCACCUCACCUAUUUUGCUGUUCUCAUGCAACUCUCCCCAGCCCCGGUCCCUGCCACGUUGCUGGCACCCCUCCUGUAUAUCUCCCUGGUGGGCUGCAGCAUCUCCAUCGUGGCCUCGCUGCUCACUGUCCUGCUGCAGUUCUAUGCCAGGAAGCAGAGUGACUCCACAACACGCAUCCACAUGAACCUAAACUCCUCCGUGCUGCUCCUCAACGUCGCCUUCCUGCUGAGCCCGGUGUGGGCCGUGCCCGGGUCAGCAUGCACGGUGCUGGGCGCCACCCUGCACUACAUGCUGCUCAGCUGCCUCACCUGGAUGGCCAUCGAAGGCUUCAACCUCUACCUCCUGCUCGGGCGCGUCUACAACAUCUACUUCCGCCGAUACGUGCUCAAGCUCUGCGCCGUGGGCUGGGGGGUCCCGGCCUUCCUGGUGCUGCUGCUUCUUGCCACCAACAGCUCAGUUUAUGGACCCCACAGGAUCCCACUCUCCGAUAGCCAGAGAAAUGGCACGGACUUCCAGAACAUGUCCAUAUGCUGGGUGCGGAACCCCGACGUGCACAGUGUCCUGGUCAUGGGCUAUGGUGGCCUCAUGUCCCUUUUCAACCUGGUGGUGCUGGUCUGGGCGCUGCGGGUCCUGCGCAGACUGCGGGUGCAGGAGAAGCCGCCGGGCCCCCGGGCCUGCCGGGACACGGUCACUGUGCUGGGCCUCACCGUGCUGCUGGGCACCACCUGGGCCUUGGCCUUCUUCUCCUUUGGCGUUUUCCUGCUGCCCCAGCUCUUCCUCUUCACCAUCUUCAACUCAUUCUACGGUUUCUUCCUCUUCCUGUGGUUCUGCUCCCAGAGGUGCCGCGCGGAGGCGGAGGCGGAGGCAGAGAUGGAGGCAUUCAGCUCCUCCCAGGCGAUGCAGUAAGCUGGGCUGUCUGGACCUCCUGGCCUGGAACCUGCGGCCUCUCUGACUGUCUGCAGCCUGAGGCUCCGGCUUCUGCCAGACAAGGUGGCAGGCUAGCUGCUGGACACCAGAGGCCACUGUCACCUCCAAGGGGGGCUUUUCCACCUCUACAGCUCCCCAGGCCCAGAGGCCGGUCGCCGUUGUAGAGACUCACCAUGGCCCUUGACCUGUCAGACCCAGUGGGAAGCUCACUCAGGAAGCCAGCGCUCUUCCGGGGCUGCACACCAGGCGGCGCUGUUGGCCCAUGUCAGAAGCCACUGGGUCCAACACCGUGUCUGGAGAUGCUGUGAUCACCUGCCUGUGUGUAGACAUGACGCCCCAGAUGGAGAGGUCCUGCCUCCAGGACUGCCUGCUGAGUGGCUGGCAGCAGGAACGCCAGCACUGUCUGCACAGCCAUUUCUCUCUUUCCUGAUGCAGCCCCCGCGCUGACUCUUGGUGCCUUGUGCUCUGGGCGUAUCUGGUACUAGAGCAAAGGCUGGGAUAGGUCCCUAGGGGCGCACUCCAGGCCCUCAGACAGGUUUUAAUGACUUUGAACAUCACAGGGAAGGAAUUGGAGCUGGAUCAUUUUCUCCCAAGGGGCUCCUCUGCCCUCUGUUCAUUCCUUGAUAGGAAUAGCCCUUCGCCAGGUGGUGAGUGGUGUGGGCUCUGGAGCCAGACUGCCUUGGAUCAAAUGCCAGCUCUGUCACUUGUUAGCUGUAUGACAGUGAACAAGGCUGUCUACCUCUCUGUGCCUGAGUUUUCCCAUCUUGUAAAAUAGAGGUAAUGGGACUACCUGUUUUAAAGGUUAAUAAAACAAUUCAUAUACAGAGGCGUAGCAGAGGGUAAGCGCUCAGUAAAUGGUGGUUGUUAUCAUUA
RNA transcript from Sus scrofa (pig), 4419 nucleotides. It is a transcript of the gene named adhesion G protein-coupled receptor G5, with no coding region annotated. Lineage: Eukaryota; Metazoa; Chordata; Mammalia; Artiodactyla; Suidae. The record is from RefSeq and is a predicted model, not a curated record.